CUCCACCCAUCCAGAAUCUCAGGCCACUGCUUCAUCCUCACCCUCCACCCAUCCAGAAUCUCAGGCUACUGCUUCAUCCUCACCCUCCACCCAUCCAGAAUCUCACUACUGCUUCAUCCUCACCCUCCAGCCAUCCAGAGUCUCAGGCUACUGCUUCAUCCUCACCCUCCAUCCAUCAAGCAUCUCACCCCACUGCUUCUUCCACACCUUCUGACAGAGCCAGCUGGUCAAUGGAACUUUUGUUUGAAAGUUCUGUUCGAUGAGCAGUUUAUUUUUUUAUAUUAUUUAUAUAUUUUAUAUUAGUUAAUAUUUUUAUAUAACUACAGCUACUAUUACAUAGUAAUAUUUUUUAACAGUGGAGACUGGAGCCUGAUUUACAGUCUGCUACAAAAAUGUACUGGGACUUAAUGUUGCAGAAUGCAGAAGACAAGCCUAAUUUGCUGAUAACUUUAGAUAUGCACAGCACUGAGACAGCGAUGCUCUUCUAUAAGCAGACCAAUGUUGAUUGGACUUGUCCAUUUGAAGUGCGCUUGAAGGCAGAUCGGGGAUGGGGUUAAACGUCACUUCUUUUCUUUGCUGUUGGAUAAGAUCCACACUGGACUACACCUGGACCUUGACACGUGGUGGAAAAACCAUAUUUUUCAUCGGCGAAGCAGACCACUACAUCCAGAACAUUGCUAGAUGGUGACCUUUUCAGGGUGGUGGGGAGAGUUAUUGGCCAUUCUUUCAUCAAUGGGGGCCAAUGCUGACUGGUCUCAGUCAGUCUCUCUUCCUACUGCUUUGUGGAUCCAAUGAUGACACCUCAGUCCAGGAGUUGAAAGACUGUCCUGACCUUGAUGUUAUGUACAUUGUUGCUCUUGUAAGUGCAAACGUAGAAUAAAUUUAUAGAUAUUUCAUACUCAGUCAACAGAAUUCAACACAGUUUGUAUAGUUAUAUCAGCAUUUGCUUAGAUAGCUUGUCUAUAAAUGCAUAUGUAUUUAAAUCAAUUUAAUGCAACCUUGUUUAAUGUCUUUUAGGCAUGAUCAGUUUUUUUAUAUGUUUACUUUGCUUUCAUAGCUUGAAAACAACAAAGACUUAGCUUCGUCUUGCUCAGCAAUUGUUAACAACUUGGCUAUCAUUGGGACCUGCCCAUGAUGACUGUGGCCAACAGAUGGUGGUUGGCUGAAAAAAUUCUCCAUCAUGGUGCAUGUUAUUGACAAGUAUGUGCGCUCGUUCAGUUGCUUGGAAUGUGCAGCUAAAUAAUAUCCAUAUCUCGUGCCAUCUUUUUUGUACUAGGUGUUGCCGUCGUGAAAGGUAGGUGGCACAGAUAAGAAUUGGGUUGAAAGACACUGGGGUCCUAAGGAUGUUAAAGAAACAGCCUGAUUUGGUAACAAUACUGUUCCCCAGAUGUGCAGCAGCUAUACUAGAACCAGAGGAGUUGUUCACUCGCGCACAAUGAUUGUUUUACGUUUGUUAAUGAUAUUAAUAGUAACCAUUUUUAUAACUAAAUGCUUAGAAUUACAAUGUGGUACCAAAAAUUAACAAGACCUGUUUUACAAAUAUGUGGUAAUGUUAGAUGAUCUUCUAUCAGCUGAUCCUUCAAAGGAUAAUUUGGCCAGAACCAGAAAGUGAUGAGGAAGACAACAUUGACGAAAUAUGCAAAGCCACUGCAUUCUUACGGGAAUACAUUGACACAGGUGAUAAAUGCAAAAUAGCAGUUGCAAAUGACUUAUAUACACUCACCUAAAGGAUUAUUAG
Paramormyrops kingsleyae is the source of this 1738-nucleotide non-coding RNA. The record is from RefSeq and is a predicted model, not a curated record. Lineage: Eukaryota; Metazoa; Chordata; Actinopteri; Osteoglossiformes; Mormyridae.